This 778-nucleotide ribosomal RNA is filed under the name uncultured Neocallimastigales. Its description in RNAcentral is "partial large subunit ribosomal RNA". It matches the Rfam family "Eukaryotic large subunit ribosomal RNA", at positions 24 to 629 of the family's 3401-position model. The record is from RNAcentral. Lineage: Eukaryota; Fungi; Neocallimastigomycota; Neocallimastigomycetes; Neocallimastigales.
UAUCUCUGUAGAGUCUGCAUAUCAAUAAGCGGAGGAAAAGAAACUAACUAAGGAUUCCCUCAGUAACGGCGAGUGAAGCGGGAAGAGCUCAAAUUUGAAAUCUUCAAGGUUCUACCUUGACGAAUUGUAGUUUAAAGAAGUGUUUUCUGUUGGAGUUUUGGUAAAAGUUCUUUGGAAUAGGACAUCAUAGAGGGUGAGAAUCCCGUAUUUGACCAGUUAUUUUCCAGCUGUGUGAUACACUUUCAAAGAGUCGGAUUGUUUGGGAAUGCAGUCCAAAAUGGGUGGUAAAUUUCAUCUAAAGCUAAAUACUGGCGAGAGACCGAUAGCGAACAAGUACCGUGAGGGAAAGAUGAAAAGAACUUUGAAAAGAGAGUUAAACAGUACGUGAAAUUGUCAAAAGGGAAGCGUUUGACACCAGUGUUGUUUUCUCGAAAAUCAAUUAAAAAAGGCAGGAUUUUGUGUUGUAUUGACUUUAUCAAGCUUUCUUCACUCUUUUCUUGUCUUUUUUAAUGCACUUUUCGUUUAACAAGUCAACAUCAAUUUCUUUUGUUGUAAAAGGGUCAUUGGAAGGUGGCUUUCUUUUCGGAGAAAGUGUUUAUAGCCUUUGGCCUCUGCAAUCGGAGAGAUUGAGGUCUGCAGCGUAGAUCCUUCGGGGUUAGAUACAUUUGUGCUGAGUUAUAGCCUUUCAUAGACAACUUGUUGACUAUGAUCAGUCAUGUAGCUUACUCGCUUAUGCUAUUUUACCUACGCUUAGGAUGUUGAUAGUCACAGCGUGUAC